Molecule: long non-coding RNA, 1643 nt
Organism: Rhododendron vialii
Lineage: Eukaryota; Viridiplantae; Streptophyta; Magnoliopsida; Ericales; Ericaceae
Exons: 4
Source: RefSeq, a predicted model, not a curated record
CGCUUCACUCCAAGCGCUAAUUCCUUCUCCAAACCCCAACUGUGGACGACAACAACAACAACAACGGCCAACAACCCGACGUCCUUGCCGCCGCCGCCUCCCAACUCACCCCCGAGGACGCUCGCUCCCUCCUCCCCUCCUUCACCUGCGACCAGCUCCUCUCCAUCGUCCAAUCCGCCGCCCUAUGCCACCGCGGCGUCCUCUCCGUCUUCUGCACGGAUGGCCAUCCGAGACCAGAUUGUGUCUCUCCUCUGCUCUCUCCGUCUCUCUCUCUCUCUCUCUCUCCGUAGAUCUCUAGAAGCUGCAAGUAAGAAGCUCUAAUUUCGACCCAAACUUUUGUUUCUGGUUGCGUACUGAGUUAAUUCAUAUAAAGAUCUAAUUAUUAUUUGUGAUUUUUUUAUUUGGUAUAUAUGGAUUGUUGAACUCUGUAUCUCGAAGUUGCGAAGGAGAUAAAGAUCGAUCUUUGAGCCUCUGUUUGUAGCAACAUAUUUCAUCUGUUUCUGGGUCUUUCGCAGAAUCACUGAUUGUGCAAGUAAGAAGCCCUAAUUUUGACCCAAACCCUUGAACCUAGUUACGUACUGAGUUAAUUCAUGUAAAGAUCUAAUUUUUAUUUGUGAUUUUUUUUACUUGGUAUGUAUGGAUUGCUGUACUCUUUUAUGUAGUUCCUAGGUGAUUGGCCGGUGCUAGCACGAGGUGUUUCAUGCUUGUUGUCUUUUUAGGACAGUAGAAUUUGUAACUUUAAGCAGCUUAUGGUGGAAUAUGGUUUGAAAGCAGUCUGCAUAUAUUUCCAUACACUUAUAAGUCAUUGUUGAGUUAGUUACAUAAGGGUAGGACUGUAGGAGUUCCAAAGCAAAUCAUGCUAACCAAAAGAUUUGCUUUAAUAGUUAAAAGAGCUUGAAGUGAGAACAAUAGACAUUGUUGCAAAUCAUGCACACCAAAAGAUUUUGUUACGAAAAAUUUGUAUUUUGGUGGUUUUGAUGACCUGUUUGUGAAGAUGCAAUUUCAAAGCUGGAGGAAGCUUCGGAAGUUGAUCCAAAGCUGCACUACACUCUCUGGUGCUUGGGAAAUGCUCAUACUAAAAUGGCAUUUACGACUUCUGAUCGAGAUGAGGCUAUGGUUUACUUUGACAAGGCAUCCCGGUACUUUCACUGAGCUCUUGAUGAGGAUCCACUGAAUGAUCUUUAUAUCAAAUCCGUAGUUGUCUCUCACAAGGCACUUGGCUUGCGCAUGGAGUUUCAUAAGCAAGGUGUAGCUCCGCUGGCUAUGGGAAUUGUUGGUCCUAGGUCUUCCUACUCUGCAAAGACUGCAAAGAAAAAGAACACUGAUCUUAAGUUGGACGUAUUUGGAUGGAUGAUCAUCGCAGGCUGCAUUAUUACAUUGCUGGGGUUAGCAAAAUCUCAUGUUCCCCCGUCACCUUCUGGAUGAGUCGAGCCUUUAUCUCAUUUAUGAACUACUAUGUGUUUUGGAAUUACGUUCGUCACUGCUCUUUUUUUCUGGUUUGUUGAACAUGUCUGUGCCCUUAGGGCGUUAAACUUUUGGACGAAGUCAUGGUUUCGCCAUAUGAAGACUGUUUUAAGUAGAUAGUAUGUUUAAGAUAUGAUGAUAUAUAAAUUUCCUCAAGUUGAGAAGCUGUUACCUAGAUA